RNAcentral lists this non-coding RNA (408 nucleotides) under Arthrobotrys sp. YMF1.00564. RNAcentral describes it as "partial 18S ribosomal RNA". The stretch from base 59 to 394 matches the Rfam family "Group I catalytic intron". Rfam says of the family: Group I catalytic introns are large self-splicing ribozymes. Lineage: Eukaryota; Fungi; Ascomycota; Orbiliomycetes; Orbiliales; Orbiliaceae. The record is from RNAcentral.
GGAAGGUUUCUUCAGGGUGACGCUAACGAGAAGCCUUUGUGGCCCCGCAAGGGGUACCCACCGCGACUGUAAAAAAUGGAUGUGGGUAUUAAAUCGCAAGUCGGCUGCAGCUGUAGCCGGCUACACUUUCGAAUUGCGGGGACACCCUAAAGCCCACCUCUACCAACCAGCUGGGGAAAUCCGGUUUGGGGCCUGUGUUAACAGCACAGGGUAUGGUAAUAAUGAGGUGGGAUACGUCAGCUUCUUCGGGCUGGCAUGAUGGGCAAUCCGCAGCCAAGUCCCUAAGGCCCCAUCAGGCUAUGGGAAAGGUUCACAGACUAAGUGGAAGUGGGCUGAGGUUUGGCAAACCAAACCUGAGCUUAAGAUAUAGUCGGGCUGUUUGCGAGAGCGAAUGGGAGUCACAAACCG